This 253-nucleotide ribosomal RNA is filed under the name uncultured bacterium. Its description in RNAcentral is "partial 16S ribosomal RNA". It matches the Rfam family "Bacterial small subunit ribosomal RNA", at positions 524 to 776 of the family's 1533-position model. The record is from RNAcentral.
UACGGGGGGGGCAAGCGUUGUUCGGAAUUACUGGGCGUAAAGGGCGCGUAGGCGGUUCGCUAAGUCGGAUGUGAAAACUCUGGGCUCAACCCAGAGCCUGCAUCCGAAACUGGCGGGCUAGAGUUCUGGAGGGGGUAGCGGAAUUCCUGGUGUAGCGGUGAAAUGCGUAGAUAUCAGGAGGAACACCGGUGGCGAAGGCGGCUACCUGGACAGAAACUGACGCUGAGGCGCGAAAGCUAGGGGAGCAAACGGG